AGGAUGAACGCUGGCGGCGUGCCUAACACAUGCAAGUCGAACGUCCUUCUUCUUCGGAAGAAGGGAGUGGCGGACGGGUGAGUACCACGUGGGUUAUCUACCGUGAGGUGAGGAAUACCGGCGAGAAAUCGCCGACAAGACCGCAUAGGCUCGAUGCAAGUCGAGCAAAGCUCGCUCGCAAGAGGGAGCGCCACACGAGGAGCCUGCGCCCGAUUAGCUGGCUGGUGGAGUAAUGGUUCACCAGGGCGACGAUCGGUAGCUGGUCUGAGAGGACGAUCAGCCACACUGGGAUUGAGAACGGCCCAGACUCCUACGGGGGGCAGCAGUGAGGAAUUUUCGUCAAUGGGGGCAACCCUGAACGAGCAACGCCGCGUGCAGGAAGAAGGUUUUCGGAUCGUAAACUGCUUUUCUCGGGGAAGAGAACGGACGUACCCGAGGAAGAAGCCCCGGCUAACUACGCGCCAGCAGCCGCGGUAA
RNAcentral lists this ribosomal RNA (477 nucleotides) under uncultured bacterium. Its description in RNAcentral is "SSU rRNA". It matches the Rfam family "Bacterial small subunit ribosomal RNA", at positions 26 to 523 of the family's 1533-position model. The record is from RNAcentral.